RNAcentral lists this non-coding RNA (27 nucleotides) under Mus musculus (house mouse). The record is from RNAcentral. Lineage: Eukaryota; Metazoa; Chordata; Mammalia; Rodentia; Muridae.
UUAAACAGGUCUCAAAACUUGAGCAAA